AAUUAACGCUGGCAGAGUGCAUAACACAUGCAAGUCGAGCGAAACUAGUCGCAAGAUUAGUUUAGCGGCAGACGAGUGAGUAACACGUAAAGAAUCUACCCUUGAAUGGCGAAUAACCAAUCGAAAGGCUGGCUAAUACGCCGUACUCUCCCUUGAAGGCAUCUUCGAGGGAGGAGAGAUCCGCAAGGAUCGUUCUUGGAGGACUUUGCGGCCCAUCAGCUAGUUGGCGGUGUAAUAGACCACCAAGGCUACGACGGGUACCCGGCCUGAAAGGGCGGACGGGCACGAUGGCACUGAGACACGGGCCAUACUCCUACGGGAGGCAGCAGUGGGGAAUUUUGGACAAUGGGCGAAAGCCUGAUCCAGCAACUCUGCGUGAGGGACGAAGGUCUUCGGAUCGUAAACCUCUUUUACAUGGGAAGAAUACCCGCAAGGGUUCGACGGUACCAUGUGAAUAAGCCACGGCUAACUAUGUGCCAGCAGCCGCCGC
Molecule: ribosomal RNA, 490 nt
Filed under: uncultured bacterium
Lineage: Bacteria
Description: bacterial SSU rRNA
Rfam family: Bacterial small subunit ribosomal RNA
Source: RNAcentral